GACGAACGCUGGCGGUGUGCUUCACACAUGCAAGUCGCACGAGGGGGCAACCCCUAGUGGCGGACGGGUGAGUAACGCGUAGGAAUCUGUCCAUGGGUGGGGGAUAACAGCGGGAAACUGCUGCUAAUACCGCAUGACACCUGAGGGUCAAAGGCGCGAGUCGCCUGUGGAGGAGCCUGCGUCCGAUUAGCUAGUUGGUGGGUAACGGCCUACCAAGGCGACGAUCGGUAGCUGGUCUGAGAGGAUGAUCAGCCACAUUGGGACUGAGACACGGCCCAAACUCCUACGGGAGGCAGCAGUGGGGAAUAUUGGACAAUGGGCGAAAGCCUGAUCCAGCAAUGCCGCGUGGAUGAAGAAGGUCUUCGGAUUGUAAAGUCCUUUCGGUAGGGAAGAUAAUGACGGUACCUACAGAAGAAGCACCGGCUAAACUCCGUGCCAGCAGCCGC
This 446-nucleotide ribosomal RNA is filed under the name uncultured bacterium. RNAcentral describes it as "bacterial SSU rRNA". It matches the Rfam family "Bacterial small subunit ribosomal RNA", at positions 28 to 518 of the family's 1533-position model. The record is from RNAcentral.